RNAcentral lists this ribosomal RNA (254 nucleotides) under uncultured bacterium. Its description in RNAcentral is "partial 16S ribosomal RNA". It matches the Rfam family "Bacterial small subunit ribosomal RNA", at positions 524 to 776 of the family's 1533-position model. The record is from RNAcentral.
UACGUAGGGUGCAAGCGUUAUCCGGAAUUAUUGGGCGUAAAGAGCUCGUAGGCGGUUUGUCGCGUCUGCUGUGAAAACUGGAGGCUCAACCUCGAACUUGCGGUGGGUACGGGCAGACUAGAGUGUGGUAGGGGGAGACUGGAAUUCCUGGUGUAGCGGUGAAAUGCGCAGAUAUCAGGAGGAACACCGAUGGCGAAGGCAGGUCUCUGGGCCACUACUGACGCUGAGAAGCGAAAGCAUGGGGAGCGAACAGG